RNAcentral lists this unclassified non-coding RNA (1214 nucleotides) under Dermacentor andersoni. RNAcentral describes it as "zip homologous protein 2-like". Lineage: Eukaryota; Metazoa; Arthropoda; Arachnida; Ixodida; Ixodidae. The record is from RNAcentral.
CACGCAAAGUCACAGCGCGUUCAGACGCCGCAAGAAAACGUUGUAAAACUGAAGUUCUAGUGAAAAACUGGUCGUCGACAUCGUUCGUAGUUAGCUUUCUUGACGCCUGAGCUCUACGUUUACAUUAAUUUGUAGCGCCGUUCACUGAUCUACAGGAUUCAUGAUGAACAAGUUGGUCUACUGUAACAACUGUUUUGCGCAGCCAUCGCGAACGCUAAUGUUUUAUGUCACAACAUGCGCCCAUGUGUACUGCCAUACUUGUAAGGAAGAUUGCACUCGGAACUCGUGCAAGAUGUGCGGUGCGACAUGCACGACUGCUGCCUUGUCUCAAACCAUGAGUCAGGAUGUUCGGGAACUUUUCAAGGACCCUAAACACAUUUUACAAAGAGCAAUGAUGAUCAGUGAAUUCCAAGUGUCUCAACUCGUCAGGCUAGCGACGUGCCUGAGACAAGAGGUGAGCACGCUGAAAGCGAGCCACAAAAAGGCCACCGAGCUGGGGAUCAAGUACAAGCAGCAAGCCGAGAGUCUGCGCAAGGAGAACGCCGCCCUCAAGAGCGAGCUGAACAAGCUGAGAGACCAGCAAAGCACUGGCAUCGACAUCAGCCAGUCCCCAACUUUCCUGACUCGGCCUGACUACCCCGCCCCGCCAGCUUUUGAGCAGCCGACCGCCUCGCAAUCGAGCAACGAGUUCGCGCUGCUCACUCCGUCGAAUCGUUCCCAAAGGAAGAAGCACUCCAGCGUAACAAGCUACACCCCGAGCAACCAAGCUGCUGUCAUGAUGGCUGGCAUGGGCAUAUCCCAGCAGAGAAGUCAGCACGCCUACGAUGAUGACGGCCGACACCGUGGCCGCGCUAUCGUCGGAGCAGUCACACCACCCCUCCGCUUUUCAACAGCAAACGCUGACCGCCGCAGGUCGAUUCAAGACUCUGAGUCGUCAAUGAGCAGCUGCUUCCGGACACCGAGCACCGAUUCUUUGUCACGAUUCGAAGAGCUCUUUUAACCCAUCGAUAAGGCUGCCGAGAACACCGUAUGGGGCAACCCAGAGGAGGAAGCAGCUGAAUUUGUCACCUGCUAGCACUUGCUUUUCAAGGAGUUGAACAGGUGCAGCUAUCCAAAACUGAAGUGCUGAAGGCACUAGUGCUGAGAAGGGGUUGUGUUGACAACAGCCAUGUUGUACACGCUAUGUCAUUUCAAUAAAGAGAAGUUACAUUUUA